Molecule: long non-coding RNA, 363 nt
Organism: Galendromus occidentalis (western predatory mite)
Lineage: Eukaryota; Metazoa; Arthropoda; Arachnida; Mesostigmata; Phytoseiidae
Exons: 2
Source: RefSeq, a predicted model, not a curated record
CGCUGCGCGGCUGCAUCGAGUCGCCCGUUCGGAAAAGACCUUACCGCUCGUCACGAAGGACAAAACUGAUCUUCGAGCAUGGCGGGUCACGGGAACGAACCGGAGUUCAAAGGUCUCCUGAAGUACUUCAACUCGACAACGAAUCAAGGUCGCGCGAACUUCGCCAUGGCAACAUACGCCAGUUUGGCAGCGAUCGGAUUCUACAUAUACUUCAAACCCAAGAAAACGACUGACCCCAGUGCAGCGAAGAAAUGAGUGGGAAUGGCCGACUUAGAGGACAUCCAUCGCUCUUAGUACAUAAAAUGUCGAAUUCUGAUGGCAAAUAUAUCUUCUGUCAAAGCGAAUAAAGAGUGAAAAACCCCA